RNAcentral lists this transfer RNA (82 nucleotides) under Dreissena polymorpha. It matches the Rfam family "tRNA". Rfam says of the family: Transfer RNA (tRNA) molecules are approximately 80 nucleotides in length. Their secondary structure includes four short double-helical elements and three loops (D, anti-codon, and T loops). Lineage: Eukaryota; Metazoa; Mollusca; Bivalvia; Myida; Dreissenidae. The record is from Rfam by way of RNAcentral.
GUUGCCGUAGUCAAGUGGUUAAGGCGAUAGACUUGAAAUCGUUUGGGAUCUUCCCGCGCAGGUUCGAAUCCUGCCGACAACG